GUCUGAGGCAAAGACUUUACAUGAUUUGUGGCAAAGACUUUACACCGUCUGAGUCAGACAUAGAUUGAAUCAUGGUUUACCUUAGAGAUUUGACUUCCUCUUCUUCAAAGUUGCGAUACCUUUUGUGUUUCGAUAGUACAAGAGAUAUAUCAUUGUAUGAGCACCAAAUCCAGGAGAGUUUCAAUUUAUCAGAAAUCAAACUUCUUAACAUAUCCAAAAUUUAUAGUUCAAGUCUUGCAGGAUAGUUCUAAGCAAUCUUCAAAAAUGAAUUUCACAUACAGAAAAGCUGAUAGAUUCACAUUCGCAUGUUCUUAUUAAAAGAAAAUAUUCGUAUCUUAGUGUAGAGAAUCCAAAAAACUACAACAUGUACAAUAAUCACAGCUAAUAGCUUUAUGGAUUUGUACGAAUAUUUCUUUGAAGUCAAUUCAAAUUAUGUCU
Molecule: long non-coding RNA, 438 nt
Organism: Solanum dulcamara
Lineage: Eukaryota; Viridiplantae; Streptophyta; Magnoliopsida; Solanales; Solanaceae
Exons: 2
Source: RefSeq, a predicted model, not a curated record